UGUCACGGUGCCUGUCAGUUCACCUCCCCCCCUCCUACAGCUCUCACCACCUUGCUGAUUGGAACCAGCUGAUCCUCAUCUUCUCAUCAUCCUGCCGGUCUUCAUAAGGGAGCUCUCACCAGAAUUCUACGCCAGUUUGUUAUACUCACUCCGGUUCCUACCUUGGUCACGCUGGUUCCUCCCCUCCACGCUGGUCCUGCCGUCCUCGGCAUCCACGCCUCGUUCCAAGCUGGUUUCCGCCGUCCUCGGCGUCCACGCCUUACCUCAAGCCGGUCCCGCUGUCCUCAGCGCCCAAGCCUCGCUCCCUCUGGAUCCACAGUUCGACGCGUCCUCGUGUCGCCCCCUCCCCUUCAUCUGCAUCAGCUCAAAGGAAACACCAAGUUCAAUCCACGGAGGAAAUACGUCCACAUCCCCUCAGAAACUUAUUUACCUCUGGUAAAAUAAAUCCAUUUAAAGUCA
This is a long non-coding RNA of Oryzias latipes (Japanese medaka), 459 nucleotides long. RefSeq lists it as uncharacterized. The record is from RefSeq and is a predicted model, not a curated record. NCBI's taxonomy places the organism in Eukaryota, Metazoa, Chordata, Actinopteri, Beloniformes, Adrianichthyidae.